This 426-nucleotide ribosomal RNA is filed under the name Trachischium cf. guentheri. Its description in RNAcentral is "partial large subunit ribosomal RNA". It matches the Rfam family "Bacterial large subunit ribosomal RNA", at positions 1848 to 2543 of the family's 2925-position model. Lineage: Eukaryota; Metazoa; Chordata; Lepidosauria; Squamata; Natricidae. The record is from RNAcentral.
AAAGGCAACGCCUGCCCAGUGAAUUAUUAAACGGCCGCGGUACCCUAACCGUGCAAAGGUAGCAUAAUCAUUUGUCUAUUAAUUGUAGACCUGUAUGAAAGGCAAAAUGAGGGUUAAACUGUCUCUUAUAAUAAAUCUAUUAAACUGAUCCCCCAGUAAAAAAGCUGGAAUAUCAACAUAAGACCAGAAGACCCUGUGAAGCUUAAACUAAACUAUUAAACCAAAUAAUAACUACUUUCGGUUGGGGCGACCUUGGAAACAAAAAGAACUUCCAAAUAAUAAUAUUACACACAUACAGGCCCACAAGCCAAUAAACGACCCAGUAAAACUGAUAAUUGAACAAAGUUACUCCAGGGAUAACAGCGCUAUCUUCUUCAAGAGCCCAUAUCAAAAAGAAGGUUUACGACCUCGAUGUUGGAUCAGGAC